This 695-nucleotide ribosomal RNA is filed under the name uncultured fungus. RNAcentral describes it as "eukaryotic LSU rRNA". The stretch from base 256 to 409 matches the Rfam family "5.8S ribosomal RNA". Lineage: Eukaryota; Fungi. The record is from RNAcentral.
AAGUCGUAACAAGGUUUCCGUAGGUGAACCUGCGGAAGGAUCAUUAAUGAGUUGUGAUAGGGUUUGAUGCUGGCAGCCAAUCUUUUGGAUGCAUGUGCUUGCCCUAACAAUCAUUUUCCAAACACCCGUGCACACUUUUGAGGGAGUUUUGAGCUUAUUGUCAUUUUGAUACUUUGCUCGCCAUUCCCUUUAAAUCAUUAUACGCUGUUAAUAAUAAUGAACGUGUUUUGUGCCGCAAGGCCAUUAAUAUAAUACAACUUUUAACAACGGAUCUCUUGGCUCUCGCAUCGAUGAAGAACGCAGCGAAAUGCGAUAAGUAAUGUGAAUUGCAGAAUUCAGUGAAUCAUCGAAUCUUUGAACGCACCUUGCGCUCCCUGGUAUUCCGGGGAGCACGCCUGUUCGAGUGUCACGAAAUUUGUCAAGCUUGGAUGGCUUUUUUGUCUGUCCAUUAGUCUUGGUUGUUGGGCUCUGCCGUGUCCUUUAUUGGGACGGCUAGCCUUAAAAGCAUUAGCUGAUCCUUGUGUGUGGCACUGGUUCUACUCAGCGUGAUAAUACAUCUGAUCGCUGAGGACAUCUUUCCGGAUGGCCAGUCCUCAUUUGGGUUGCUUCUAAACUUGGUUUUGCAGAUUCUGUGAAUCUGUGUUCCACUUUUCAGCUUUGACCUCGAAUCAGGUGGGACUACCCGCUGAACUUAA